This 253-nucleotide ribosomal RNA is filed under the name uncultured bacterium. RNAcentral's name for it is "partial 16S ribosomal RNA". It matches the Rfam family "Bacterial small subunit ribosomal RNA", at positions 524 to 776 of the family's 1533-position model. The record is from RNAcentral.
UACGUAGGGUGCGAGCGUUGUCCGGAUUUAUUGGGCGUAAAGGGCUCGUAGGCGGCGUGUCGCGUCGGGAGUGAAAGCCCGUUGCUUAACGGCGGGUUGGCUUUCGGUACGGGCAUGCUGGAGUGCGGCAGGGGAGACUGGAAUUCCUGGUGUAGCGGCGGAAUGCGCAGAUAUCAGGAGGAACACCGGUGGCGAAGGCGGGUCUCUGGGCCGUUACUGACGCUGAGGAGCGAAAGCGUGGGGAGCGAACAGG